Molecule: long non-coding RNA, 2029 nt
Organism: Austrofundulus limnaeus
Lineage: Eukaryota; Metazoa; Chordata; Actinopteri; Cyprinodontiformes; Rivulidae
Exons: 2
Source: RefSeq, a predicted model, not a curated record
UGAAACCAGGUGAACAGAAACAGCUGAAGUGACUGAAAACAGGUUGAGUUUGGAGCACGAGGAGGAAAGGUGUGAUUUACACUCGUGUAAACAACCUCUCUGUCACGAAGAAGAAGAAGAGCACUGACAGGUAAUAAAGCAGGAGUUCACAGGUUAAACAUCCUCCUCAGCCUGAAGUGAGAUCUCGCCCAUCAGGCCGAAGCGUCUGCAUCAAACAGAGAUGAUCAGUCGUUUCUGUCCAGGUCGCAUCAGAACAAUAACAGGAAACCAACAGAAAACAGGAAGUGCGUACACCUAUUGUGGCGGCAAAGCCAGAGGUUGUGAGCAGACCGUGGAGGUCAGGUGCGUGGGUGACGUUUUCACGCCGGCUAAUAAAAAAAAGAAAAGUUUCCACAGAGCUCACCGCCGCAGGAGAAACGUUAAAUAAACCGAGCAGAGCUGCUGAUAAACAACCUGAGCAGGAAAUCGGUUCUUCUACAGCCGAUCCUUUAAAACAAAACAAACGCAGAAGAAGUGAUAUUUAGCGGUGUCACUAUGCAGGUGCAACCUUCUGUUCCACACCCCAACAUGAAACCAUCGAUCCGCCCACCCGGCAGGGGUCGAAAGUUUAUUCAUCUUAAAACACAUUUGUGCCCAAAAAAACCAGGAGAAGCUUUUAACUGGAUUAAAAACAACAAAAAGCUCACCUUUCGGACAAAAACCAGAGAGUAUGCAGAGCGAGGAGGGUCAGCGAGACGCUUUGAGGGGGCGGCUGCGUCUAAAAGGGUCCUACGGUUGAGGUUUCUCUCUGAAAGGAAAUGUAGGAGUUGUUGAAACUCCCCCCACCCCUUCAAUCAUCUCGACCUCCCCUGAGGACGCCACAGAUUCUGUCUUCAGUUCUUAUCCGUGGUUACAAAACAGAACGACCCCAAAACUCUGGAGAUAAAACUUCAAAAUAAUGUUUCAAAUUUAAGAUUUGCUGCAGCGGAGCAGGUUAAAACCUCAAACUGUGACAUGUCUCUGUUUUCUGGAUUAAUAAUCUGGAACUGAGGCGCCGCGCGCUGCAGCUCCCGUCUCUUUUUGUUUUCUACCUUCAGCGUCUGCGGCGCUCAGGAAACAGGAGCGAGCCAUUUUCUGCAAACGCUCUUCUCCUUUCAUUCUGUUUUUUUUUCUUUUUGUCUUGCAUGUGGCGUGACGCAAGCAGCCGCAGUCAUUUCCACCGUGAUUGUCGGGCGCCAUCAGAGAGCAUCGAUAACCCCUGCCAGGCCUUGGCGCCGCCGCCAGGUGCCGGCACUGCCAGCGAGGUUGGCACCGGCGUGGCUGUGAAAAACCCUCUGACAUCCAGAAGGGCACAGAUUUGCUCUGAAUGCACCACUGAAUCAACACUGCUGAUUAUCAAUUAACAUAUAGCGUUUUGUAUCGCACAGAAAAGGAGCUUUUGAAGCCCAGAAAGCCCGUCAGAAUCAGGCGCUGAAUGCAGAUUUAGGUGGGUUUCUGCAGGCCUGCGUGGCUUUGUGUCAUGUUUGUAAAGGAAUCCUGACUGAGCUGCACCUCAGGACCCGUGUUCUCCGGUUCUAACCUGCAGAUUCCAAAGCUCGCUCUGAUUUGUAUUUUUUUUUUUUAAACACGACACUAAUAAUCGACACACAAAAGCCUUGAAAGGCGCCGCAGUUUGGCUCAGCGUGGAGGAGCGUCUUUAUUUAGCGGCGCCGCUCGUAGGUGUGAUGUCUUCAUGCUCGCCACUCGUGAUGCUUCUAAUGGGCAUUAAUACGAUUAUUUGCUUCCUAAUAGGAAUUAGUGAGAGCAGACGGCGCGAGGGUGGGCGGAGGGAGCCGUGGCACCGCUUUGACUCUGACGUCUCGCUGGAAGUGUCUGCCACGGUGAGAAAAGGAGGAGGAAAAAAAAAGACAAACACGUAAACAUAAUAGUAUUAUUAGAGGCUGCAGAGGAUUUAAUAAUCUGUCGAGGAACGUGUCAAAACAGGCGUGUGUGGGAGAGCAGACGAACCGCAGCCAGACUGAAAAUGUCAUUUACAGUAAAAAAAAAAAAA